GGCUUAGAGUUUGAUCAUGGCUCAGAUUGAACGCUGGCGGCAGGCCUAACACAUGCAAGUCGGACGGUAGCACAGAGGAGCUUGCUCCUCGGGUGACGAGUGGCGGACGGGUGAGUAAUGUCUGGGGAUCUGCCCGAUAGAGGGGGAUAACCACUGGAAACGGUGGCUAAUACCGCAUAACGUCGCAAGACCAAAGAGGGGGACCUUCGGGCCUCUCACUAUCAGAUGAACCCAGAUGGGAUUAGCUAGUAGGCGGGGUAACGGCCCACCUAGGCGACGAUCCCUAGCUGGUCUGAGAGGAUGACCAGCCACACUGGAACUGAGACACGGUCCAGACUCCUACGGGAGGCAGCAGUGGGGAAUAUUGCACAAUGGGCGCAAGCCUGAUGCAGCCAUGCCGCGUGUAUGAAGAAGGCCUUCGGGUUGUAAAGUACUUUCAGCGGGGAGGAAGGCAGUGAGGU
Molecule: ribosomal RNA, 461 nt
Filed under: uncultured Pantoea sp.
Lineage: Bacteria; Pseudomonadati; Pseudomonadota; Gammaproteobacteria; Enterobacterales; Erwiniaceae
Description: bacterial SSU rRNA
Rfam family: Bacterial small subunit ribosomal RNA
Source: RNAcentral